ACCCAACUGACUAGUCCCAAAUAGGACUAAAUGUACGUCCAGGAU
This 45-nucleotide non-coding RNA is filed under the name Schistosoma margrebowiei. The record is from RNAcentral. Lineage: Eukaryota; Metazoa; Platyhelminthes; Trematoda; Strigeidida; Schistosomatidae.